RNAcentral lists this ribosomal RNA (105 nucleotides) under Microtea debilis. RNAcentral describes it as "4.5S ribosomal RNA". The record is from RNAcentral. Lineage: Eukaryota; Viridiplantae; Streptophyta; Magnoliopsida; Caryophyllales; Microteaceae.
AAAGGUCACGGCGAGACGAGCCGUUUAUCAUUACGAUAGGUGUCAAGUGGAAGUGCAGUGAUGUAUGCAGCUGAGGCAUCCUAACAGACCAAUAUAGACUUGAAC